CCAACGGUCCUUUUCAGGACCACCGGAAAUAACACUGUUCGACAAA
Molecule: non-coding RNA, 46 nt
Organism: Aedes albopictus (Asian tiger mosquito)
Lineage: Eukaryota; Metazoa; Arthropoda; Insecta; Diptera; Culicidae
Source: Rfam